UAUUAUAAGCUUUCAGGAGUUUUGUUUAAUUGCCUUUCCGACCAAGUCCAACACGACUUAGACAUCAAUAUUAGACCAUUAUUCGAUCUCCUUCCUUCGCCUCUCUCCUGCCCAAGAAAAAUGGAAAAUCCUUCUUCUUCCAACUCCAUUAAAACUUAUGAUGUGUUCUUGAGUUUUAGAGGUGAAGACACCCGAAGCAGUUUCACAGGUUAUCUCUAUCAUGCUUUGAGCCAAAGAGGAAUUCUCACCUUCAGGGAUGAUGAAAUGCUUGAGAGAGGCGAAGACGUUUUCUCAACAUUGUUGAAAGCGAUCGAAGAAUCAGAGUGCUCCCUUGUCAUUCUCUCGAAAAACUAUGCUUCUUCAAUUUGGUGUUUGGAUGAACUUGUAAAGAUUGUUGAAUGCAUGAAAGACUCUAGAAAGUUGAUUUUUCCAAUUUUCUAUCAUGUCAAACCAUCUGAUGUACGGCACCAGAAAGGAAGUUUUGGAGAAGCAUUCCGGAGACACGAAGAACGUUUUAGGUCCAACUUGGAAAAGGUGCAAAGAUGGAGGAUUGCAUUAACAAUAAUCGCAGAUAUAGCUGGAUAUCAUAUACACCGUGGAGGUGAUCCAGAAUGGAAAAUCAUACAAGAAGUAACAGAGUUAAUAUGGAAAAGAGUUUCUGAUGUUGUAGAGACAAAAACUUCACUUAUCAAGAAAGAAAAAGCAGCCAAGAGAUCAAACAAAAACGUUCAAGAGAUAAAAGCUGUAGAUGUAGAGCGCUUACCCGGAAUGGAUUCGCUUGUAAAUGAUUUUCAUUCAUCUCUUUGUGAAUCUUUGGCCAAUGUUCGUUUUAUUGGAAUUUGUGGGAUAAGUGGAAUUGGCAAGACAACUCUUGCUGAAGUUUAUUACCGAUCGAUAUCCAACAAUUUUCAAUAUAAGAGCUUCCUUAGAAAUGUGAAAAAUGUUUGUGAAAAGAAGGAGAACAUUAAUGGUCUUGUCUACUUGCAAACACAACUUCUUUCAGACAUUUUAGAAGAAAAGUUUACAAUAGCGGAUGUUCGUAGUGGCAUGGACAUGAUAAAGAGUAGUUUGUACGAUAAGAAAGUUCUCAUUGUUCUUGAUGAUGUGGACACAUUGGACCAACUGAAGGUAUUAGCUAAGAAAGCUACUUGGUUUGGUUCAGGGAGCAUAGUCAUUGUAACAACUAAAGAUGAAAGUUUGCUAGCAAGAACGUAUGAAGAACGUAUAAUUUACAGAGUCGAGCAAUUAAAGGAUAGAGAAGCUCUUCAACUUUUUUCAUGGAAAUCAUUCGAGAAUCGUAAUCCUUCACGAGGUUAUGGCGUUCUAUCUAGACAAAUGAUAGAAUAUGCCAAUGGUGUUCCAUUAACCCUUGAAGUUUUAGGUUCCUUUUUAUGGACCAAAGAUGAAAGUAAAUGGACAAGUACGUUGGAUAGGCUGAGAGAGUACCAUCCAAGAAACUUGAGGAUUGUUGAUAUACUUCAAAUAUGCUUUGAUGAACUGAAGGAACUAGAGAAGCAUAUUUUCCUGGAUAUUGCAUAUUUCUUCAAUGGAUGUCAAAAAGAUUAUGUUACCAAAAUUAUGGAAGAAAGUGGCUUCUCUGCUGAAAGUGGGAUAAUAGUUCUUAAUCGUAAGUCUCUCUUGAGAAUUGAUGAAAACACACUUUGGAUGCACGAGUUAUUACAAGAGAUGGGGAGGGAAAUUGUUCGAAAAGAAUGCCAGAAGGAACCAGAAGGACGAAGCAGGCUAUGGGAUGUGCAUUAUUGUCCAUAAUUUGGAGCAUAAAAUGGGAACAAUCUUGGUCGAAGCAAUAGUAACCUCUUAAAUUAUAAGACAUAACAAAGGAGAAGGUCCUGAUCUAAGAGAAGCUUGAAAGUGAAUUUUGGAUCUAUCCAACAUUCCUAUCAAGAAACUCUCAACAUAGACUAGCAUCUUCAAGACCUGCAUUCAACAAAAUCUCUGCUUUCGGUUCCAGUUCAUGCGCUUAGCUUGUGCAUGUCUCCUGGUUUUUCUGUCUUAGAUAUUUAUCACAAAAUCAGGCAACAAUAUUGCAAGUUUGUUGGUAAAAAAAUAUCUUUGGUAUUUUGUCAAAUUAUUUGUAGCUUGGACGUUAAGGAAUUUGUUAUUCUUGUUGUGUUACUGUAAUAGGGCGUAAAGAGUUUGACUAGGUAGAGACUUUUAGAUUGUUGUGUCUUAUGCUUUUAUAAGGAAUGUAUUAAACUAGCUGGUUUUUAGCCAACUAUGGUUUGGAAACUAGCUUAGGAUUUCUUUUUCUUGAGAAUAUUGCUCCUGCAGGAGUUGGAAAUUUCCAUUGGAGAAGAUUGUAUGACAAUUUCUAGCUCCCUUAGGGAAAUCAUCAGCUUUAAAUCCUGUACAGAGACAAACAAAACUACAAGCCCUUAUUGAAAUUAUGUUGUGCUUGUGGAUGACUAUA
Ziziphus jujuba (common jujube) is the source of this 2431-nucleotide RNA transcript. It is a transcript of the gene named disease resistance protein RUN1-like, with no coding region annotated. Lineage: Eukaryota; Viridiplantae; Streptophyta; Magnoliopsida; Rosales; Rhamnaceae. The transcript has 4 exons. The record is from RefSeq and is a predicted model, not a curated record.